This 219-nucleotide ribosomal RNA is filed under the name Triticum aestivum (bread wheat). RNAcentral's name for it is "partial small subunit ribosomal RNA". Lineage: Eukaryota; Viridiplantae; Streptophyta; Magnoliopsida; Poales; Poaceae. The record is from RNAcentral.
AUGGGGUUCGUGCUGGUGAUCUCGCUGCCCUUCAUAUUCUUCACCAUCCUGCUCGGCUUCGGCUGCUACUUCCUCGGCAAGCACAAGGGCCGCGAGGAGAUGCGCGCCGGCGUCGGGGCCCAGAUCUACGGCACGCCCCUGCCGCCGCCCGGCGUCGCCGGGCAGUCCCCGGGGCCGUACCCGGCACCGCUGAAGAAGGAAGGCCCCGACGCCGUCUGA